RNAcentral lists this ribosomal RNA (761 nucleotides) under Armadillidium vulgare (common pillbug). RNAcentral describes it as "bacterial SSU rRNA". It matches the Rfam family "Bacterial small subunit ribosomal RNA", at positions 478 to 1238 of the family's 1533-position model. The record is from RNAcentral. Lineage: Eukaryota; Metazoa; Arthropoda; Malacostraca; Isopoda; Armadillidiidae.
CUCACAGAAGAAGUCCUGGCUAACUCCGUGCCAGCAGCCGCGGUAAUACGGAGAGGGCUAGCGUUAUUCGGAAUUAUUGGGCGUAAAGGGCGCGUAGGCUGACUAAUAAGUUAAAAGUGAAAUCCCGAGGCUUAACCUUGGAAUUGCUUUUAAAACUGUUAAUCUAGAGAUUGAAAGAGGAUAGAGGAAUUCCUAGUGUAGAGGUAAAAUUCGUAAAUAUUAGGAGGAACACCAGUGGCGAAGGCGUCUAUCUGGUUCAAAUCUGACGCUGGGGCGCGAAGGCGUGGGGAGCAAGCAGGAUUAGAUACCCUGGUAGUCCACGCUGUAAACGAUGAAUGUUAAAUAUGGGAAAUUUAUUUUCUGUAUUACAGCUAACGCGUUAAACAUUCCGCCUGGGGACUACGGUCGCAAGAUUAAAACUCAAAGGAAUUGACGGGGACCCGCACAAGCGGUGGAGCACGUGGUUUAAUUCGAUGCAACGCGAAAAACCUUACCACUCCUUGACAUGGAAAUCAUACCUAUUCGAAGGGAUAGGGUCGGUUCGGCCGGAUUUCACACAGGUGUUGCAUGGCUAUCGUCAGCUCGUGUCGUGAGAUGUUGGGUUAAGUCCCGCAACGAGCGCAACCCUCAUCCUUAGUUACCAUCAGAUAAUGCUGGGGACUUUAAGGAAACUGCUAGUGAUAAACUGGAGGAAGGUGGGGAUGAUGUCAAGUCAUCAUGGCCCUUAUGGAGUGGGCUACACACGUGCUACAAUGGUGGCU